AUUGAACGCUGGCGGCAGGCCUAACACAUGCAAGUCGAACGGUAACAGGAAGAAGCUUGCUUCUUUGCUGACGAGUGGCGGACGGGUGAGUAAUGUCUGGGAAACUGCCUGAUGGAGGGGGAUAACUACUGGAAACGGUAGCUAAUACCGCAUAACGUCGCAAGACCAAAGAGGGGGACCUUCGGGCCUCUUGCCAUCGGAUGUGCCCAGAUGGGAUUAGCUAGUAGGUGGGGUAACGGCUCACCUAGGCGACGAUCCCUAGCUGGUCUGAGAGGAUGACCAGCCACACUGGAACUGAGACACGGUCCAGAAUCCUACGGGAGGCAGCAGUGGGGAAUAUUGCACAAUGGGCGCAAGCCUGAUGCAGCCAUGCCGCGUGUAUGAAGAAGGCCUUCGGGUUGUAAAGUACUUUCAGCGGGGAGGAAGGGAGUAAAGUUAAUACCUUUGCUCAUUGACGUUACCCGCAGAAGAAGCACCGGCUAACUCCGUG
RNAcentral lists this ribosomal RNA (490 nucleotides) under uncultured bacterium. Its description in RNAcentral is "partial 16S ribosomal RNA". It matches the Rfam family "Bacterial small subunit ribosomal RNA", at positions 30 to 507 of the family's 1533-position model. The record is from RNAcentral.